ACGAGUAGGGCUACACACGUGCUACAAUGGCGCAUACAGAGGGCGGCCAACUUGCGAAAGUGAGCGAAUCCCAAAAAGUGCGUCGUAGUCCGGAUUGGAGUCUGCAACUCGACUCCAUGAAGUCGGAAUCGCUAGUAAUCGUGGAUCAGAAUGCCACGGUGAAUACGUUCCCGGGCCUUGUACACACCGCCCGUCACACCAUGGGAGUGGGCUGCAAAAGAAGUAGGUAGUUUAACCUUCGGGGGGACGCUUACCACUUUGUGGUUCAUGACUGGGGUGAAGUCGUAACAAGGUAGCGCUAGGGGAACCUGGCGCUGGAUCACCUCCUUAAACGAUGAU
Molecule: ribosomal RNA, 339 nt
Filed under: Vibrio parahaemolyticus
Lineage: Bacteria; Pseudomonadati; Pseudomonadota; Gammaproteobacteria; Vibrionales; Vibrionaceae
Description: bacterial SSU rRNA
Rfam family: Bacterial small subunit ribosomal RNA
Source: RNAcentral